UACAGAGGGUGCGAGCGUUAAUCGGAUUUACUGGGCGUAAAGGGCGCGUAGGUGGUAAAGCAAGUAAGAUGUGAAAUCCCUGGGCUUAACCUAGGAAGUGCAUCUUAAACUGCUUAACUAGAGUAUGGUAGAGGGUGGUGGAAUUUCCUGUGUAGCGGUGAAAUGCGUAGAUAUAGGAAGGAACACCAGUGGCGAAGGCGACCACCUGGACUGAUACUGACACUGAGGCACGAAAGCGUGGGGAGCAAACAGG
This 253-nucleotide ribosomal RNA is filed under the name uncultured bacterium. Its description in RNAcentral is "partial 16S ribosomal RNA". It matches the Rfam family "Bacterial small subunit ribosomal RNA", at positions 524 to 776 of the family's 1533-position model. The record is from RNAcentral.